This 18-nucleotide small nuclear RNA is filed under the name Arabidopsis thaliana (thale cress). RNAcentral describes it as "snRNA_05723". Lineage: Eukaryota; Viridiplantae; Streptophyta; Magnoliopsida; Brassicales; Brassicaceae. The record is from RNAcentral.
UUGUCGACGGUGACUCGA